GGACAGAUGGCCGAGUGGUUUAAGGCGCACGCCUGGAGAGCGUGUAUACCUCAAAAGGGUAUCGAGGGUUCGAAUCCCUCUCUGUCCG
This 88-nucleotide transfer RNA is filed under the name Gemmatimonadota bacterium. RNAcentral describes it as "Gemmatimonadetes bacterium tRNA-Ser". It matches the Rfam family "tRNA". Rfam says of the family: Transfer RNA (tRNA) molecules are approximately 80 nucleotides in length. Lineage: Bacteria; Pseudomonadati; Gemmatimonadota. RNAcentral also lists the same sequence under 2 other names. The record is from RNAcentral.